AUCGCUUCUUGGCCUUUUGGCUAAGAUCAAGUGUAGUAUCCGUUCUUAUAAGUUUAGAGACUUCUGGGAUGGUGAAUGGUAAUGCUACCACUUGAGGCUAGUGAUUCUACAUCUUUGUGUUUUUCUUUUCCAUUCUUGGAAAAAAAAGAACGUUGGUACUUAAUUGACUUCAAUCGACAGACUUU
This is a small nuclear RNA of Zalophus californianus (California sea lion), 185 nucleotides long. Its record names the gene U2. It matches the Rfam family "U2 spliceosomal RNA". Rfam says of the family: U2 is a small nuclear RNA (snRNA) component of the spliceosome (involved in pre-mRNA splicing). Complementary binding between U2 snRNA (in an area lying towards the 5' end but 3' to hairpin I) and the branchpoint sequence (BPS) of the intron results the bulging out of an unpaired adenosine, on the BPS, which initiates a nucleophilic attack at the intronic 5' splice site, thus starting the first of two transesterification reactions that mediate splicing. Lineage: Eukaryota; Metazoa; Chordata; Mammalia; Carnivora; Otariidae. The record is from Ensembl.